AUUGAACGCUGGCGGAAUGCUUUACACAUGCAAGUCGAACGGCAGCACGGGGGCAACCCUGGUGGCGAGUGGCGAACGGGUGAGUAAUACAUCAGAACGUGCCCGGUCGUGGGGGAUAACGUAGCGAAAGUUACGCUAAUACCGCAUACGAUCUGAGGAUGAAAGCGGGGGACCUUCGGGCCUCGCGCGAUCGGAGCGGCCGAUGUCAGAUUAGGUAGUUGGUGGGGUAAAGGCCUACCAAGCCGACGAUCUGUAGCUGGUCUGAGAGGACGACCAGCCACACUGGGACUGAGACACGGCCCAGACUCCUACGGGAGGCAGCAGUGGGGAAUUUUGGACAAAGGGCGCAAGCCUGAUCCAGCCAUUCCGCGUGCAGGACGAAGGCCUUCGGGUUGUAAACUGCUUUUGUAUGGAACGAAAAGGCUCUGGCUAAUACCUGGGGCUCAUGACGGUACCGUAAGAAUAAGCACCGGCUAACUACGUG
Molecule: ribosomal RNA, 484 nt
Filed under: uncultured bacterium
Lineage: Bacteria
Description: partial 16S ribosomal RNA
Rfam family: Bacterial small subunit ribosomal RNA
Source: RNAcentral